GAUGAAGAACGUAGCGAAAUGCGAUACUUGGUGUGAAUUGCAGAAUCCCGUGAACCAUCGAGUCUUUGAACGCAAGUUGCGCCCGAAGCCACUAGGCCGAGGGCACGCCUGCCUGGGCGUCACACGCCGUUGCCCCCCCAUCUACUCCUUCGGGAUUGCGGGGGGGCGGAUGAUGGCCUCCUGUGCGCCUAGCCGCGCGGUUGGCAUAAAUACCAAGUCCUCGGCGACGCACGCCACGACAAUCGGUGGUUGCGAAACCUCGGUUGCCCGUCGUGUGCGUUCGUCGCGCAUCGAGGGCUCGAAAAAAUGCUCGGCUCCGGCUCGGCUUUCAACGCGACCCCAGGUCAGGCGGGGUUACCCGCUGAAUUUAAGCAUAUCAAUAAGCGGAGGA
Molecule: unclassified non-coding RNA, 391 nt
Filed under: soil metagenome
Description: partial contains 5.8S ribosomal RNA, internal transcribed spacer 2, and large subunit ribosomal RNA
Rfam family: 5.8S ribosomal RNA (bases 1-122)
Source: RNAcentral